Molecule: ribosomal RNA, 497 nt
Filed under: uncultured bacterium
Lineage: Bacteria
Description: partial 16S ribosomal RNA
Rfam family: Bacterial small subunit ribosomal RNA
Source: RNAcentral
GAUGAACGCUGGCGGCGUGCCUAAUACAUGCCAGUCGAGCGAACAGACGAGGAGCUUGCUCCUCUGACGUUAGCGGCGGACGGGUGAGUAAGACGUGGAUAACCUACCUAUAAGACUGGGAUAACUUCGGGAAACCGGAGCUAAUACCGGAUAAUAUAUUGAACCGCAUGGUUCAAUAGUGAAAGACGGUUUUGCUGUCACUUAUAGAUGGAUCCGCGCCGCAUUAGCUAGUUGGUAAGGUAACGGCUUACCAAGGCAACGAUGCGUAGCCGACCUGAGAGGGUGAUCGGCCACACUGGAACUGAGACACGGUCCAGACUCCUACGGGAGGCAGCAGUAGGGAAUCUUCCGCAAUGGGCGAAAGCUUGACGGAGCAACGCCGCGUGAGUGAUGAAGGUCUUCGGAUCGUAAAACUCUGUUAUUAGGGAAGAACAAAUGUGUAAGUAACUAUGCACGUCUUGACGGUACCUAAUCAGAAAGCCACGGCUAACUACGUG